This 792-nucleotide long non-coding RNA is filed under the name Ricinus communis (castor bean). RNAcentral describes it as "long non-coding RNA (RCOM_LNC002459)". Lineage: Eukaryota; Viridiplantae; Streptophyta; Magnoliopsida; Malpighiales; Euphorbiaceae. The record is from RNAcentral.
AUCUGAGAAUUGCAAUAAGUGCAAAAUGGGCCUAAAUGCUUCAGGAUUCAGCAGAAGUCUGUUGCCGGAAAAUGGAGGAAAGUCCAUAGUCCUGAAUCCUGAAUCCUGACAGGCAGAUUAUGCAGUUCUGACUACUGAUCACACCACAUAUCUGUCAGAAAAUAGAGGGUAAAAAUAUUCAGACCUUCUCUUUUCGGGUCUCUGCCAUUGUAGCCCACAACGAAUUUCAUUCAAGAUUCAGGACUAGCUUUGGGAUGCAUGUGCAGGAAUUCAUGUUGAGGGAGAGGAUAAUUUUUUUCUUUUCUUGGUACAUGGAAUAGUAAACAGAAAGGAGUAUUAGAGAUUGAAUUCUUAUAUUAAAAGAAAAAAAAAUCGUAUUCUUAAUCCAACAGCCCGAAUAGGAAUUUGAUAAUCCUGUUAAUUCACGAGCUAGGUUACACAAAUUAUACCGACUCCAUAUUAUCAAAGUUUGAAUUCGAAUAUAUUCUUUUUUGAAUUAUUAUAUCUUAAAUUCAAGUACACGAUGCAUUAUGUAUCAAGGAUUAAAUAUAUGUGUGUUAAUAGCCUAUUAAGUUAGCGUAUUUGUAAAUUCUAAAAUUAGGCUUAUAAGUUCAAUUUGAUCGACAAAUAAUAUGAUUAAAAGUCUGAUUAAUUAAAACGACAAACACCUAACACUGUAAAUUUGAAUUCAUUGCAAGACACAUAAAUUAUUAUACUCUAAAAUAAUUAUUUUACUAAGUUCCAAUUUUUAUUUUUUAUUAAAUACUACUAAUAAUUUUAUUAUUUUAUUUU